ACAAUACAAAUUGUGAACAAAAAUGAAUUGAAUGGUCCAAAUGAUUUUGUGGUUGCGUAUUUACAACAUAUUGUAAAAAGUGCACUUUUAAAUUAUUGUAUAAUAAUACUUAAUUCCAUUGCGCAUGCUACGGGAAUGAAGGUCAAUGCGCAUAGUCAAAACAUUGCGCAUUUCGGGGCCAGCUAACCUCCCUUCAGCAGAGUUGAUCGACCAGCCUCUGAGCUGUCAGUGUAGCAAGCAAGCAGAGAAAUCCAUUUAUUUCGUGCUGUAUUUUGGUGCCUAUUGGAGUGCUAAGUGGCUUUGGUCGCUUUUGGUUUAAUUUGGGUGCUAAUAUAAAAUAAAUAUAACAGGAUGCCAGCCCCAGCGCCACCCGCCGAAAAUGGCGCGCCUCGCAGCGAACUCGAACAACUUCAGAUGCGCGCCGGUCAAGUCACCGAUGAGUCACUGGAGUCGACGAGGCGUAUGAUGCAACUAUGCGAGGAGAGUCACGAGGUGGGCAUGAAAACCCUGGUCAUGCUGGAUGAACAGGGCGAACAAUUGGACAGAAUCGAGGAAGGAAUGGACCAGAUCAACGCCGAUAUGCGCGAAGCGGAGAAGAAUCUAUCGGGAAUGGAAAAGUGUUGCGGGAUCUGUGUUCUGCCAUGCAACAAGAGCGCAUCAUUCAAAGAAGACGAUGGUACGUGGAAAGGCAAUGAUGACGGCAAAGUGGUGAACAACCAACCACAGCGAGUGAUGGACGAGCGCAACGGUAUAGGUCCACAAGCUGGCUACAUAGGCAGAAUAACAAAUGAUGCUCGCGAAGACGAGAUGGAAGAGAACAUGGGUCAGGUGAACACGAUGAUUGGUAACUUGCGCAACAUGGCGCUAGACAUGGGCUCCGAACUCGAGAACCAGAACCGUCAGAUCGACCGCAUCAACCGCAAGGGUGAAUCGAACGAAACGAGGAUAACGCUGGCGAACCAGCGCGCGCACGAGCUGCUCAAGUAAACGGCGGCGGCCAUCACACCACACACACACACUCGGUCUCGUGGUCGCUACUGGCGCCAACGCAACGUCGGUUGCAGACACCUACUCGUAGCUGAACUUACAACUAUUUUAAUGAUGCUUCAAAUGUAACUGAUUUUCAUUCAAACGCAUUAUUUAUUUCCAUACAGUUUCCAAACUUCAAGAUCGAUUUGAACUUGAAAUUUAAAAACUGUUUUUGGUAUAAAAAUAAUUACCUUAAUAUUUAUACUCACAUAUAAACAUUUUGCGGUUCUGCGAUCGGCGAUGUGUCUCCUGAUCAGUAUUUUGCUUCAUGUCUUUCCUAUCUUGAAAAGCAAGUACAUUUAUUCAAGUGUAACUUUAAGAUAUUAAAUCUAUUUCUAACCUCUUAACGUGCUGCUGUAUUAAAUGAACCAAACAAUUGCUGAUCGCAAUGUUACCUACAAAGAUCAGUACAUUGAUAUCAUUUUACUUUUAAUCGCUCAAAAGAAAUUUGUAUUAGGUGCAUCCUCUUAAAACGAAAAUUUCUGUAGAGACUGCUUACUGGGUUCGUGUUUAAUGAAGUUCAAAUAAUUGUCAGUUUUAUAAUUUACGUUAGUUGCAAAUCAAGUUUGCCCAAACCAGUUUUUACUGAGAGACAUUGACUUGACACAUUUUCAUUGACACAAACUAAAAAUUAAAAGGUUGUUUGUGACUGUUCAUAAAAUACAGUAUGGCAUGUUAUAUUACAAAAAUAUCAACUAUAUUUAAAACUUGCACUAUAAAUAUUUAUGUUAUCCUCAAGUAUACCUAGAUUUGUUAGGACCAUAGGGCGUUGAAACGAUGAAAUCUGUUAUUUUGAGAAAGUGCAUUUACCCCGUUGUUAUCUUAGUAGUGUUAAUAAUUACUGUUAUACCUAGGGAUCCAAUGUUGCUAACGCAAACGUCAUAAAAUUUGUGUUAUUCAUAAGAGUUGUUAAAAAAAAGUUAAACUUACACAAGCAAUAAAAAUUUGUAGUUAAAAUACAUAAUAAUAUAAUAUUCCUCGGAGUUCCUUGUUCUAAUCAAAUUGUCAUGCGCUUGCAUAUAUUAAACUAUAUCCUGUCACAACUUACUUUUUUUUAUUUUAAGAAAUUUACUUUUUAUAUAAUAAUUUAUAAAGUUAAAGGAAGCGUAAAUGAUUUUUGGGUGGAGUGUAAAGGAUGAGUUGAUAUGUGAUAAUAGUUCGAAAUUAAGUGACUAGUAAGUGUAGCCAUGCAAGUCUUCGUCAAAUUUGUUUGUAUCUGAAAAGAUCAGAUCUCAUUUAUAUUAUUUUUAUCAGUACUUUUCUCAUAGGAGCAUUUAUGUGUUCAAUUUUUGUUUAAAAUCAAAAUUUAUAAAAUUUUCCAAUGUAAUAAAGUAUUUUUUAUUAUUAUAUGUAUUAAUUUACUUGUUCAGAAUUUGAAGUAAUUAAAUAAUUAUAUUCAAAAUAAUUAAAAACGACCAAGUUUAUUUCAUUAAAAAAAUAAAAUUUAGUAUGCACAUAUCCAAUAUAUGACAAACAUAUCUGCUUCUAUGGACAAGUAUUAAAAAUUCUGAUUUAUCUGUAACUAUAGUAAUUAAUAAUCAAUACUUAGAUAUAAAUGAAAUAUUAAUCAUAAAUUAUUGUUAGUAAUUUUUAUUUAUUUAAUUAUUAUAAAAUAAAUCAUUUCAUUUAUAAAUAUUUAGUUCUUUAUUUUCCCUUUUUGUUAAUUUCAUUCUGUUUUUUAAAGUCAAUUAAAUUUAUAAAAGUUAUCAUUUUAGGGUUCAAUACACCAAAAUAAAAUAAUAUAAAAUGUAACAUCAACAGAAAUUGGUCUGAUUAGUUAAUUUUUACACAUUACUCGUAUAAACUAUGACUAUGACUUAGGUUAUAAAGUUGUGGAUUGAUUGUUAGGUAAUCGAAAGAAGUGAUAAAGUUAAGAAUACACUAUACUUUAAGUAAUAGAAUAGCGUUAAAAUGUCAGAAGCAUGUAAUAAUUUACCAAUUAUUAUUAAUUUUUGUUGAACGAAAUACGCAAAUCUCCGAGACGAGUAAAAGUUCCCAAAACUAUGUUGGUUACUCGCACAACUUUUUUAAAACCUACUUCUAAUUUUGUAAAGUGUUUUGUUGAUGAAUAAUAUCACUUACUUAAUAAAAUUUUAAGAGAAUUCAUUGAAAUGAAAUUCACGAUGGUACCGUAGUCGCGCUGGUUAAGCUCUAACAACCACGAGACCUACACCUAAACACACAAUUACACACAACACGACGCCGGCAACCGGAGAAAGCAACGAGACUCGCAUAGCGGUUGCAAACCAGCGAGCGAACAAGCUCCUCAAGUCUUAAGCAAGUCUUCGGAAACGCCUAUAGUGUUUAUUUUUUUGCAUUUUAACCAAUGAUCCAUGUGUAACGAGAGGGGAACUAUUGAAAACAAAAUAAAUAUUCGCAUGUGUGUAUAUAAAAAAAUUGAAUUGAAUAGGUAUUUAAAAUUUUUGUUUCAUCUUAGAAAAGAAAAUUUUCUUUUUAACAUAGGUACAAUGCGCCAUAAAUUAAUUUCCAUUUUAGAAUGUAUUUGUAAAAAGUCGAAUAGUGUAGGUUAAGAAUGAUAAACGAAGGAUUAUCAUGAAUGUUAUAAUUGUUGCUGAAUCAAAAUUUUAUUAUAAUGUUUAUGCAAAAUUAUAUACUUCAAAAAAUGUUGGUAUAAAUAAGCGAAUUGAAAUAUUUAUUGCAUAGAAAACAUACUUGUAUGAUAACGAAAAGGUAACGAAAUUUCGGGAUAGUGAAAUAAUGUAUAGACUGAUAUAUUUUUCUUUGGCUUCAUAAUUUACCCUCUCGUUCCACCAGACAUCAGAAACUAAUAAAUGAUGCUAUUUGUCUAGAUUUUGCUGUAGUAAAAAAUAUUUCAUAUGCUUAUUGGCAAAAUUUCACGAGUAUAUUUGAAAUACAUACUUCGUUUUACCGAUACGUAAAUUUUUUUCAAUUACCUACUUAAUAAAAAAUUGAGUAGGGCGCAAUAAAUAUAUUAUAUGGUUUACCUUACUAGGGUGCCCAUGUUAUAUUGAAAUAUAAAAAUUAAAUAUAAUAGUGUUUAUGUAAAUUUUGGCGUUACAAGCAAUACAUUUAUGUCUUAAUUAAUAAAAUCUGCUGUUUCUUAAAAUCUUUUAUUACUCAAAGAUGAAAAUAAUGCAAGGAAGUACAGUUCUUAGUUUUACUUGAAAUACAAUAUUAUUUAAAUUUAGCUAGGUAUUUGAAGAAAACAUAAUAGUAAAAUGGAUACUGGUACAAACAUAUUUUUAUUUUAGUAAUGUGCCAAAAUGUCAUAAAAUAUAUGAUUGACCUCAAUUUAAAUCUACCAAAUUUUGUACAUAGGUACUUAUGCAAACGAUCCACUCUACUUCGGAGCACACUUAAUACGAUUAAAUUAUAUCUUUUAAUAAAAUUAAUUUGCACUUAAAUUUAAGAAUAAGGUAUGGGUAUCGAAAGAAAGUACGGUUAAUCACAAAAAUCUUUCACGCUCAAAUUAAUAUUUCAAUGUACUAUUAAAUUUUACGUAUUGCUUGUGUAUCAUAUUUCUGAAUAUAUAACAGUUUUGAAGUUAUAAUAAAGAUGUUUUAAAAGUCUACUAAUAAAAGAAUUACUGAGAUUACAUAUUAUGAAUACUGUUUUUCGUAUUAAACUUGAUGUUUAGACAUUUUAAAAUUGCUUUGUUAUCAAAGUAGAUUUUAAUUUAGAUUAAGAUAAAGGUGCCUGGACUAUAUCUUGACGUUUUUCUUUAUUGUGCAUUUAUUACCAAUAAGUUCAGAUAUUAUAGAUAGCUCAUCUUUUUUCAAUAUUGAAAUAAGUAUAUGCAAUUACCUUGUCGCACGAAAUGUGGUGUAAAACUUUAAUCAGGUUUCGUGUCACAGGGAAUAUGUAGAUUGCGAUGUGAUGACAAGACAUGCAAUAGUUAAAUAUUAAAUACUUUAUUACUUAAAGUGUAUUGUUGUAAGUACGAAGAAUAAAGUACCGGCCUUUAGGAGUAAUGAUAGUAGAAGUUACGGCAGCGGCUUGACAAAUUAUACUUACUGUACUCGUGUACCAGAUAGAUUUAAGAGUUUUCCAAAUUUUCUCUAUGUCUUUUCUCUCAUAUUAGUUUGUAAGAGAUCACAUGUGCCCUCGGGGCAAUUUAUCUAAGUACAUAUUUUAAUAAUAUAAUAUUACAGAGUUGUCUUGUAACCUAUAGAGAUUGUUUUGUUAAUUAAUCGAGGUAUUCGAUAGAUAUAAAUUUACCGCCUGCGUAAUCUGUAUCAGUUUUAUUCAGCCUAAAAAUGUAACUAUUUAGAAUAAACUUAUUACCUAUAUCUAUUUUCUUUAAGAAUAGUAAUAUAAUUAACAGAUAGUAUAAAAUGUUAAUUUCUGAUUACAUUAUUGUUUUGUUAAAUUAAAUCUAUUUGUAUUAUUUCA
Amyelois transitella is the source of this 5403-nucleotide RNA transcript. It is a transcript of the gene named synaptosomal-associated protein 25, with no coding region annotated. The record is from RefSeq and is a predicted model, not a curated record. The transcript is spliced from 9 exons. Lineage: Eukaryota; Metazoa; Arthropoda; Insecta; Lepidoptera; Pyralidae.